GAUUCUACAUUGCCCCAGCUUUCAUGGACAAGCUUGUUGUUCACAUCACCAAGAACUUCAUGACCCUUCCUAACAUUAAGGUCUGUAUGUCACCUAUAACAUAUCUAGUGAAAUCUUUUUUUUUUUAAUAAAAUAGCAUUAAAUUUACCAAAUUUUACUACAAUUGUUUCUAUUACAGGUUCCUCUUAUCUUGGGUGUUUGGGGAGGCAAAGGUCAAGGAAAAUCUUUCCAAUGUGAGCUUGUCUUUGCCAAGAUGGGAAUCAAGUGAGUUCAUGUUUUUUUAGAUGCAAAUUCAAGGUCUUGAGUAUAUGGCGACGGGUGAAGUCAAAAAAUUUUGUGGGCUAUAGUUAAACUAUAAAUUUGAUGAAAUUUUAUUAUUGUAUUAACUUAAAAAUUUACUAGUUUUAAAAGGUUAAAUUAUAAAUUUUCUAUUUUUAGAAGGUUUAUAAUUUAAUUAUAAUUUUUUAGAAGCAAAAUGCAAUUAUUCUUUUGUGUUAACUUAAAAUUUUACAAUCGCUAGAUGAGCUAAACAAAAAUUUACCUUAGCUAAAAUAUUAAAUGUCAAUAACUUUAAUGAUUAAAAUGGAUAAAAGGUAUAAAAUUGAGGGUUAAUUUGGUUGGUUUUUUAAAAUUAGAGUCAAAAUUAAUGAAAUGUGUAAAUAAUUAGGGUCUAUUGUGCAAAUAGAAACAUGCUAAUGAAUUAAUAUAAUGAAUUAACAUCACAGCCCCAUUAUGAUGAGUGCCGGAGAAUUGGAAAGUGGGAACGCCGGAGAACCAGCCAAGUUGAUCAGGCAAAGGUACCGUGAGGCCGCCGACAUUAUCAAGAAAGGGAAAAUGUGUUGCCUCUUCAUCAACGAUCUCGACGCUGGAGCCGGUCGUAUGGGAGGAACCACACAAUACACAGUGAACAACCAAAUGGUGAACGCCACACUCAUGAACAUCGCUGAUAACCCCACCAACGUUCAGCUCCCCGGUAUGUACAACAAGGAAGAGAACCCUCGUGUUCCGAUCAUCGUCACCGGUAACGAUUUCUCGACGCUGUACGCGCCUCUCAUCCGUGACGGUCGUAUGGAGAAGUUUUACUGGGCACCCACCAGGGAAGAUAGGAUCGGUGUUUGCACAGGUAUUUUCAGGACCGACAAUGUUCCCGUUGAUGACCUUGUUAAGCUUGUUGACACCUUCCCGGGCCAAUCCAUUGGUAAGCUUCUCUUUCAACACUUUUUCAAUUCGUGGUCUCUAUACAAAGGUCUAAUUUUUGUUUUAGUCCCUCCACAAUGCUAAAAUUCAAAAGUUAAUCCUUCUAAUCUGGUGUGCUCGCAAGUUAUUCAAGUUUGACUUAAAAAUUCGAAUCUGAUUCAAUCAUUCUCGAGCAACUCAAGCUAUUGAGUAAGUCGAAUUCAAGUAUUUUAGUACUUGAGCCUAAUUUGUAUAUUUUAUGAAUUUAUUUUUAAUACUUUGAUGAUAAAUUACUAGUUCAUCUAAAAAAAUGGGUAUAUAGAACAAGGUCAAGCUUAAACUCGAGUUUGGCUAUACAAUUGUGUGUGAAUGAGCUUAAUUGACCUCAAGCUUAUAUAGUAGUAUUUGAUUUAGCUUGAGCUAAGUUUCAAGCAGUGAGUUCUAAAUUAAAUUUGAGCUUGAACUUCUCAGUAUAUGAGCUCAACUCAACUCGAUUACAAUCCUAUUAAUAGGUCCAAAUUGAUAGCAUCAUAUUCAAUCUACAAUAAAUUUACAUGUCAGCCAAAUCUUUAAGUCUAUUUAGAUAUUCUGAUAACAUUAUAAAAGUAGAGGUAUCGAAUUUUGUCAGAUUAAAUUAACCAUAAUUAAAUCCCAUAGGAAUUAUCAUUAACGGUGUAUUUGCAUGUGUGUGGUUCAAUUUGUAGACUUUUUCGGUGCUCUGAGGGCCAGAGUUUACGAUGACGAAGUGAGGAAAUGGAUCGGAGAGGUCGGAGUCAAUGGUGUCGGGAAAAAGCUCGUGAACUCGAGGGAAGGGCCACCAUCUUUCGAGCAACCGAAGAUGACCAUUGAGAAGCUGUUGGAAUAUGGAUACAUGCUUGUUGCUGAGCAAGAGAAUGUGAAGAGGGUUCAAUUGGCUGACAAAUAUUUGAGUGAAGCUGCCCUUGGAAAUGCUAAUGACGAUGCUAUCAAGAGAGGAGCUUUCUAAAUGGGAAAUUAAGCUCUAAGGGAAGAAAAAAAUCUAUAUUGGGCACAAACAAAGGAAAUCCCCCCUUUGUGUCUUAAUUGAAUGUUGUUUUCCUUUUGUGUUUUAAGUGGAUUUGCAUCCUCUAUUUUUGUGUUAUAAAAUCUCCACUUUGUUCUUGUCUUAAAUGUUUCACUUUAUUUGUUCCAAUCAACUUUUUUUUUUUACAUGAUUAGUUUUGAAUAAAAAAUUUCCUGUUAAAAGAUUGUGUUAUUUGAUAAAAAAAAUUGAAUUUUUUUAUAGGAAAAAUAAUUUUUUUUGGUUUCCAUUUCACGAAAAAAAAUUAUUUUAAUUUUUUAUUUAACUUUUUGCCUCUUUUUAUCUCUUGAACUUAUAUUUUUUUGUCAAAUCACCCAGAAAUUGAUAGAAAAGUUAAUGUUUGUUAACUUUGCUAACGUAGCAUACACGUAGAAUGUCACGGAGAUGACAUGUCAAUAUUUAAUUAAUUUUUUAAAAUUUUAAAAAUUAAUUAAAUGUUGAUGUGGCAUACACAUGGUAAGUUAACCAACUUUAAUUUCCAUCUAUUUUGAAGUGAUUUAAUAAAAAACGUAAGUUUAAGGGUUAAAAAAAGAUGAAAAAAAAUAAAUGGAGGGCUAACAUAACCAAAUAAGUCAUUAUGCCAUAAAAAUAUUAUGCGAAAACUGGAAUUGAGAGAAAAAAAGUUAGACCUAUUAUGUGAAAUAUUGUUUACUUCGUAUUUAUAUAUUAUGUCAUUUAAAUCACAUGAAAAUAAAUUUAUAAUAAUGUAUCGGAAAAAUUAAAAAAUUAUUUAAAAUUUUAAUAAAAAAUACUAAAUUAUUAAAUACUAAACUAAAAAUAGUAUAAAAAAUUUUUUUUAAAAAAAUGAAUGUAUUUAAAACAAGCUAAAGUUAAUUAUCUAAAAAAGCUUAAGUAGGUUAAAAUAAUGACACUAUUUUAUUUUAUAUACUUUACAAGCAAAAUCGAGAAGUUAAUUUUAAGGUAUAGUGAAAAAUUAAAUAUGUAAAAAAUAGAUAAUGAACUAUAAAGUGAGAUUACGUCCUUAAAUUAUCAAUGUUAUAUUAAUAAUGUCUAAGAAAAAUAGAUGUUGUAAAAAUUUAGUUUUAAGAUUUUCGGAGCUUUUAUGAAAGCUAUCGGCCACUCUUUUCUAUUCAAUUUUAUUUUUUUCAGUUUUUAAUUUUAAAAUUCAUGUCUCAAAAUUUAACUUUUCUUUAAACUUUAAUUUUAAAUUAUGCCAUUUUACAUGUAAUUUGAUUGUUAAAUUAACAGUUUCAAUAAUAAAUGGACCUUAUUGAUAUAGCAUCGAUAGUUUAGGGAUGUAAUUAAAAUGUUUUAAAGUUUGGGGAUUAAUUUAGAAUAAAUAUUGUAAUUUGAGGAUGUCUAGUGAAUUAACUCAAAAAUUAUUUUAAAUUAAAUUUAAAUAAAUAUUUUAUUAAUAAAAUAGAAUUCAAAUUAGUCAAAAUUUAGCCUUUUUGCUUCCUUUGGACUUAGAGAUAUAUAAUGGGCUAUUAUUGGCCCAUUUAGAAACCCUUGGGCUUUAGAGAGGAUAAUUUGUUUUAUUAUUGAAGCCCAAAAUAGUAUUUGUCCAUAAAUUUAGAAAUUUACAAAAAAAUACAUACAUAUUUUAAUUAAUUUUAAAAAUGUAAAUCCAACUGCAAACACAAUUAUUAUAUUUUUUAAAUUCAUUUUACAUUAUAAGUAUUAUAUUUUACUUGCAAUUAAUUUUUAAUUUCACAAAUAAAAUUAAAAAAAAUCCUUUUAAUAAAUUUUUAUUGUAUAAAAGAUAAAUGAGAAAGGGACUCGAUUCAUCUAGUAUACAAUGGUGAUGUGCAUGCUUGCAUCAUUGGCAUGACAUCACAUUAAGCAACCUCAUAUGAGGACUUAAUUGAAUAUAAAAUAUAAAUGGAAUAUUAUUAUUUAAAUUUGAAUUAAUUAAGUUAUUUGUUCAAUGCUUAAAAGUUUAUUACAAAAAGUCGAUUACGUUUUAACUGAAUUGGCAUGAGCAUUAUUGUUAAUAUAAGAGGACAUGGGUUUGAAUGCGUUGAAUCGUAUUAUCCUCCUAUUUAUAGGUUGGGGAGGGGCUAUAGAUAGUUCUAAGUAUUUAGUAAAAAAAUAAAUAUAAUCAGAACUUAUAAUAAGAUUACUGCAAAAUUGCAUUUAGUAAAUCUCAAAAUAUAUUUAAUUAUUUAAACCUUAAUUUAUUAUAAAUAAAAACAAAGUGAAUGAAUAUCCAAAUAUACGAAAAUUACACACCCAUCACAUCCCUACUAUAAAAAGAGAAAGUGAUGGCUUACCAAACGAUACGUGCAAUUAGGCUUACGAGUUUUGGUAAAAUUUUGCUUUAGGUCCCGAAAAGAAAUUGAUUUUUAUGGUUUGCAAAAUAAAAUCAUCAUUUCUUUCCAAGAAAGUCCUCUAUGGACUAUAUUAGAAGAGAGUGUCAUUUUGACACUUAACCUUAAAAGUUUUGUCGAAUUGCUUUUUGUUAGAUUAAAAAAAUUGAAUGAAUUGGUAAAAUGUUAACGUUAUUGAUAUGGCAGCUCGUGUGACAAUUCACACGUACUUUAUUGUUGACAUUGAUAAUUUUUUUAAAUUUUUUUAUGAUUUUUUAUGAAGUACAUGCCUAAUGAUGGUGGCCUUGCCCCCUUAAAAAGGAAAAGUUUUGUUUAAGUCCCUUUAAAACCAUAAAAUUGUAAUUUAAUAUCUUUUAGAAAUUAUAAAGUUAAAAACUUCCAAUGAAAAAAUUGCAAUUUCACUCUCAGUAAAUUUAUAAUUUAAUUUUGGCCACUCCAAAAAAUUUCCUAGCUUCGCCCCUUAUAUAGGGGUGAGUAAAAUCCAAUUUGAUUUUAAAAACUCGAUAAAAUAUUAAAAUUUUGAAUUAAAUAGUUCGAGUUAAUAGAGUUAUUUGGAUCAACUUGAAUAAAAAAUCAAAAUUUUCAAUUUAAAUCAAAUAUGAAUUGCACAAUUUGAGUUAUCCGAAAAUUCGAAUAAAAAAAGGCAAAACUAUUUCUAAAGUUAAAAGUCAAAACUGUGCCGUUUUAAUAAAUAUUUACCCGUUAAGUUAAAAGAUAAAACCAUUAUAUUAUUUAUUUAAUUAAAUAAUCUCGUAUUUUAUCUACUGAUUAAAUAAUAAAUUUAUGUAAACCUAAUAGUGAGUUAAAUAAUGGUUGGAUGGACGGUUAUGGAAAGACACUCAGCUUACAGUCAACUGAAAUAACAUGGAAUCUGCAGGCGGCGUGGUCCACGUUUAAAAUAACAUGGGGCCAGCACGCGGCAUGGGAUCAAAACAUGUAGACCCCACGUGGAUACAUUUUUUCUCUCGCUCUCGCUUUCUAUACUGUGCCCUACAGGAUCAUGAAUCUUCAUGCUACUUCUUCAUACAGUCUUUUAAUCAACCCAGGUGUCACAAGCUGGGUUGAUCUGUGGUGGACGGCAGAAAGUGGCUUGGGUUAAUGGUCCACCUCAAUUACACGUUUACCACAAAAAAGAGAAAAAGUACUAAGAAAAAAGAAAACCAUAAUGAAAUAUAAAUUUCUUUUAAUGCUUAAUCUCAAGAUCCGCCAUUAACGAUAAAUUAUGUUUUAGUUGAAAUGAUGAAAUAGAAAUAUACGGGUUUUUUUUGAUUUUAUAAAUAAUAUAAACAGAUUAAAAUAUACUUAUAAUAAUAUAAAUUAUUUUGUAAAAAUAUCUUUUUUUUAAGGUUUGUACUUGUCGUUUUUAAUAAUGUUGUCUCUAAAGUUUAAAUUUAUAUUUUCUCUUUGUGAGUGCAAUGUGUCUUACCGUAAUAUUUUUACUUGAAUUCGUAUUCGAUUAACUCAUUACACCAAUUUAAUUAAAAUUUGUAUUAUGGUAGACAUAAUAAUAACAUUAGAAGAAAGUUUUCAAAAGUUUUUAGCUACGAAUGUUUCAAAUAUAAAUUAUUACAAUUUAAAUGAUAGGAGAAGAACUAAAUAAAUGUAGUAUAAUCGUGUUAAAUAGAGACGAACUUAAAAAAUUAUUUUAAGAGGAUCGUAGAUGGAUCAUAAAUUAUUAUGGGUAAGGUAUAAUUUUAUCAUUAUAAAAAUAUAUAAGUGCAUGGGUUCUUUUUACAUGUUUAUUAAUUUUUUUUUGAAUAAUCUCAUUUUAGGUUCUGAUCAUAUAUGUUCCUUUUGACACAAUACUUAAAACUACCUAUAGUCUCCCCAACCCAUAAAUAAGAGGAUAAUACGUUUCAGCUCACUAAAACCCACAUCCUCCUGCAUCGGUACAAUCGAGUUAAAACACAAUCGGCAUAUGUAUAUUAAAUUUAAGUGAAGUGAUAUGGUUUAAUCUAAUCUAGAGUUUGUCUUUUGGACAAAUUUUUAAUAAUGAUGAUUUAACUUUUUGUGUGUGUGUUUAAUUUGAUUAAAUUAUUAAGUAACAUGGAUAUUUAAUUUAAUAAAUAAUUCCCAAAAGUUUGGUGAAGUAGCCACUAACAUGAUAGUAGAAGAAAGUGUAUUUUCUAAUACAACGUGUGUUUAUUUGACAUUUGGUGUUUGUAUUCAUUCCAUUGAUUAAAUUAAUACUUAAAACUUUAAAUAUAAAAUCCAUAAAAUGGUCAGACCAUGCAGGUAAUGGUUAAAAUAAUAGGGCAUUAGAUUAUGUUAUUUAAUUUUUACCUAAAAUUAUAUUGUUUUUCAUGCUUUGGUCAACAUUUGAUUUUUUUUAUAUUAGUAGUUUAUAUAUCUUAAUUUAAUAGGCAAUGUUAAAAAUUAUCAAAUAUCUCGUUUUUUAUUAAAUUAUUUUUUAAUAAAUUUUUUUGCAUAAGCUCGGAACGAACGGAGAUAGAAUCAGACUGAUUCCCUAAGUGCUUUUUUGGACGUUCUUCAAUGUCCUGGCUAUUCACGGAAUGUGGGAAAUGGAUGAAUAAUCAUCUGCUUCCGGAAGAAAUUGAAGGAUUUCUUGGGAAUCCUACAAGAUCCAUUCGUUCUUUUUUUCUCUAAUAGAUGGUCAGAACUUCAUCUGGGUUCGAAUCCUACUGAGAGGUCCACUAGAAAUCAGAAAUUGUUGAAGAAAGAAUAAGAUGUUUCUCUUGUCCCUUCUAGGCGAUCAAAAAAUAAAGAAAUAGUUGAUAUGGUUCCGAAAGAUGAACUGGGCAGUUCCAAUAAGAUUUCAUUCUUGAACAAAAAUGGAACCAAACUGGAUCUAGUGUAUUUUAAGGGAUUUGCCUUUUCUAUUGAUUCCUACGGAUUGAAUUUUUUUUUGAAUAAGCUCAUUAUAAGUUCUGAUCAUAUCUGCCUUUUUGAUACAAUGUUUAGAACUACUCAUAGUCCAUCCCCAACCUAUAAAUAGGAGGAUAAUGUGCUUUAGCGCACUCGAACCCAUGUCCUCAUGUAUUGGUAACAAUACCCAUGCCAAUUGAGUUAUAAUUCAAGCGACAUUUUUUAGUAUUUUAUUAAAUAUUUAUUUAUUAAAUUAUUUUUAGUAUUUUAAAAAAUAUAUAUUUUACCUUAAAAAUAAAAAUAAAAUUUUAUAUUUCAAAUUUGCUAUUUGUUAAUAUUAAUAAAGCUUAAAUAUGCAUUUGGUUGGAAAACUUUGAUGAGGAUAGUGGAUGAAAAGUAUGUUUGGGUAUUAAGUUAUGAUAAAAAUAAAUAAAAAUAUAAGAAUCAAAUUGAUAAAAGAAAUCAAGUUCUUAGACUAAAUGCAUAAUUGACCAUAUUAAUAUCUACCUAUUGAAAUUUAAACUUUUAAUGGAGAGGUUAAUUAAAGAAACACCAAUUUAAAAAAAACAAUUAGGGAUUUAGGUUUUUUUUUUCUAAAUUUAAGGAAAUAGGUCAAUUUUGGAGAGAGAAAUAGAAAACACGUCUUGCAAUGCUUCCUGCAAGACAUGUUUUCUGUCUUUUUUAAAAUAUAUAUUUUUGUUGGGUGUUGAAAAUUUUGGGAGAAAAUUUAUUUGUGUUAGUGUUUGAGUUUGACAUUGUGAUAGUUUUAAGGUAUGUUUAAGUUUACGGUGAUGCGAUAGUGCUUGGAGACCCACACAUUUUAUCUGUUAGUGGGGAUAGAAUCAUCACUUUAGAAUCCCAUCGAAUUGCAACUCAGGCUCUUAGUUCACGGUGGUUAUAUGGUCGUGGGUUAAAGUAUAAGUCGGGCCCCCAGUAGAUGGUGGUUAUGUGGUCACGGGUUCAAGUUUUAUAAUACUGAAAGAAAAUACUUUAUAAACCUCAUACAUAAGUUUGAGAUCAUAAUCAUAGGGGGAAAAAUGACUUUCAAAUAUAAUCAACUUAUUCUUUUUCUCCAUCUCCACCAAAGGUAAUAUCCUUAACCUCAUUGUCUAUAAUUUGUGACAGAGUUGGGAGCAAGAAGGCUUUUAGGGGGAGGAGUGAUUGCGAUGGUGGAGAAUAAGUUGAAACUCGAGUCGAGUCGAGUCGAGUCGAGGCGGUAGUGGUUGUAGUUAUUAAUGAGUUCUUUAAUCAUACAAAUCACAUACAAAACAAUACAAAAAUUAUUUUUUUCUUAAAUUGUAAAUAAGUAUAUUAUUAAUGUAAAAUAGAAUAGAACAACUUUUUUAUUAUAUAAUUGGAAUAAGUAAUUAUGGAUGGAAAAAUUCAAUAUAAUACAAAUUAAAAUUUAAUAAAGCAAAUGAUGAUUUACAUGACAAAAAUUUAAAUAAAAUAUUCAUCGGCAUCGCCGGCCCGAAUGUGUGCCACAACUUGGUAGGUGUCGGUUACGAGAAGGAUUUCGUUAUAGUUGGAGUUUCAACUCCUCAUAUUCUUCAUCUUUACUUCGACCUCCAUGUUGAUCUCCAUCUUCAUCUUCAUCUCCUUCUUCCGUGCUAGAGUGCAUUUGGAUCCUAGGUUCCCAUCGUAUAUCGCUCGUUGUAUUAAUAGGUGGUUGCAAAAAUGACCCACCUCUAUAGAACAGUGAUGUUGAAGGUGUUUGCAACACUACCAGUGGAUAAGUGUAUUGUGUCGCAUAAUCCGAUUGUGAAUAGAAUGUUGGAAUUGUCGGUAAUGGUAGAUACAUCGGUGUUGUUUUCGGCAUUGGCGUGUAAUAUGGUCCUAGGAUGGUUGUAGUGCAAAAAAUAUACAUAGAGAAGGUUUUAAUGCAUAGUAUGAUGGUGUAUAAUGUGGUGCUUGUGUAAAAAAAAAAACGGGGUAGUGAAAUUACAAAAAAAUAUGAACCAUAUUGAUCGGGAGGUUGCGCACCCAUCGGUGCCUCAUGUGGGGUUGGAGUUGAUGAUGAUUCCAUCGAGGCAUGUACUCCCGACCUAGGAUUCAUGCAGGGUCGUCUUGGCUGCCUACAACGAUAUUGUUUGCUCCUUUCCUCCUCUAGCAGUAGAUAUAACUUACUAUGAAGUCUAAACCAUGUCAUGUAAUUCGGAGAGGUCGCCAAAUCUGGUGGGGGAAUUGGUUUGCGCAUAGGUAUGAAAUCGUAACUAUACUCCUAAAUGUAGAUAUAUUUGGCAUGGAAUUUCAGCCAAUCUUCAUUGGUUUUUCCCUGUAAGUCGAUAUUAUGUUAUUCAUCGAGAUCCUGGGGUGACAGUGGAUUAAUUUGCUUAAACCUAAACUAGCACAUCACUCGAUUGAAUUCGUGCAUUUUGACAGUUUAACAACCUAUCAAUGACACUUUGACAAGCCAAAUAUUGCGAUUGGCCAAAAAUUCUGCCAGGAUGCAUUCUUGAAUUCUUGGAUCAGAGUAUGACAUCUAUUCAAACUAUAGUAUGAAAUUAUAAAUUUUAUUAUGGACCUAAUAUUAAAUUUCAAAUUCUUACGUAAAUAUUAUAUAAUUUAAAAUUCAAAAAACUAACCUCGGCUUCAAAUCAUUGAUCUAACAAUAACCGGAUAUCUUCGAGCUUGUCUGGUAUACCUACAUGACUCGUGUCAUUCUUCCAUCUAUUUAAAUAAUAUUCUAUUCAAAAAAUAUAAUAGUGAAAAAAAUAUUAUGAUACUUAUAUUAUCAAAUGAAUUUUACCUUAUUACGAGUAAGAAUUCAUAAGGGGUGUUUACUCGAGACAUAAAAAUGAUAGCCAGUACCAUGUACAUGAUUGAAGGACUAUGCAACCAUCGAUUUUAAUUUUUUGUGAUUUCAUUGCUCGACACAUCUCUUGGUACAGUGUCGCCAACACAGUUGAUCCCCAACUGAGUCAUCCCGCUUCUUUCAAGUCGACUAGUUGUAGUAGCCACCUUAAAUGUAUUAGAUUUCAAGAUUUAUCAGGCAUUAGAAGCCUCCCUAUUAACCUUAGGAUGAAUGCUCCUGCAUAUUGUUCUCUUUCAACUACACUCAUAGAGUUGUCGAUAUAAUUGAAAUUGUCUUCUAACCAUUUCAUCUCUAUCAAACUACCACUAAACUUGUCCAAUACAUUUCCUAAUAGUUGCUCGUAAAUCGUGCUCCAAUCGCCAAUGCCCACUACCCACAUAACGACUGUCUCAUCCACUGGUAAACCAAGUUGUUAUCCAACGUCCUCAAGUGUAAUUGUACACUCACCGCACAGAAGAUGGAAUAUGUGUCUCGGGUCUCCAUCUUUUCACCAAAACACUGAUAAGUGUGAGAUCCAAUUUAGUCCCCCCGAGCAUACGAGACACGUGCAAGAAUCCCUCCUCUUGCAAGUGUUGUUCAAUAAUACGCGGUGCCCUUUCACUUAAAUUGUGUAUGUACGUCUCCAUAAUAUGAUAUUAGUCUGAUUAUAUAAACAUAAAAAGAUGAUAAAAUUAAUAGCGUUAACAACUUAAUAAUUGAAUUAGUUAAAAUAAAAAAAAUUAAUAAUAUUUUCUUAACAUUUGCAAUUGAAUGUCGGAAAUGUACUUACCAUCUAAACGAAUAAGUGACAUUAACAUUUUUAAAAUUAUAAAAUUAAAUAAAAUCAAAGAAAUUAGAAAAUAUAAAAUUAAAACAAGAAGGAUUUGAAAGAAAUUAAAUGAAAAAUUAAGAACUAAAUAAUUAAAAAAAUUUACAGAUUAAAAUUUGAAUGCAAAUGAUAGAAAAUGAGUUAAGGGUCCUUUUGUUUACAUGUAAAAGGUUUUACGGAAAAUAUUUUUCGUAUUUUCCUGUGUUUGUUUCACAAAAAACAGCUUGGUCAGCUAAAAAUAACUUACAGGUCAACGGAAAAUAAGCAUUUUUCAUUGUAAAAUGACUUACCAUUUUGAAAAGCGUAAGUCAUUUUCCGAAGAAGAGCUCAUCAAUAGAUUAUUUUACUUUUAUAUAAGAAUUAACUUAAAUCAAGUUUAAUAUUAUUAUAUUGAUAAUAAAUUUUAUUUUUAAAAAUAUUUAAAAUAUUAAUAUAAAAUAUUAUAUUUUUAAUAUUAUUAAACAUACGUAUUUAAUUAUUUAUAUUUAGUUAUAUAAUAAAUUAUUUAUAUAAUUAAUAUAAUUUAUUAUUUUUAAUAAAUUAUUUAAUAUUUAAAUUUUAUUUUAAUAGUAAGUUUAAAAAAAUAAUUUUAAAUAAUAUUAUUCACAUGUUAUUGAAAAUAUCAAUAUUAAUAUUUUAAUACUAAAUAUUUAUUAUAAUUAUAAAUAUAUUAAUAAUAAAUGUUUUGUAGUAUAAAAGUUAAAAUAUGUCAUAAGUCUAUAUACUCUUCACAAAUUUACAAUUUAGUUUCUGUACUUUUAUUUUUAAGAAUUUAGUCCCUCUACUUUCUAGAUUUGAAAAUCAAGUCCAACUGCUGACAUUGUUGAUUUUUUUUGUCAAUUUUGUUAAUGUCACAUUUUUAAAUAAAAAAUACUCAGUUGGUAGUCAUGUAACUAAAAAAUGAUCAUUGCAAUGAACUUAAAUUGAACAAAAUAUUUUUAAUAUAUGUAAAAACAAUGUAAAAUAUAAAAUUAUGGAUAUAAAAUAAACUCAAUUAAACAAUGAAAAAAUAAAAAAAAUCUCAUAUGUAUGUUUAUUUAAUUGAAAACGACUUUUAUGAAAUAUUUUUAAAGAAUCUGCCAAACAAAAAAAAUAUUUUAUACAGAUUUAUCUAAACACUAAAAAAUAUUAUUUUUUUCAAAAAAGUAAGUUAUUUUUUAGAAACCAUUUUUCAGAAGCCUGUAAAGUAAAUAAACUAGUUGACAUUAACUAUUAGAGUGACCAUUAGAUGAAAACGCGUCUAAGAUUUUCGGCGAUAUUCAUGUGAAAAGGUGAAAGAUUCAUCAAACUCUAUGUUAAUUUCACUCAAGAAGUAGAAUUGCAUCAUUUCUAAAGGUUUGAAUUUCCUCGUAAUUCCCUGUAAAUCCUCACCUGAGUUCAUACACCAGUAAUUAGUCCUUUAAUUCCCACCUUAGCUAUAAAUCUCUCUUUAGCUCUCCUUUCUAUUCUCAUUUUCUUCAACCCCAAAAAGCAAAAAUUUCAAUCCCAAUUCCCCUUUGCAUGGCAAAGGAGUUGUUUUUUUUCUGGGUUUCUCUUGUUUUUUCAUCAAACCCAGUUUUUUCUCACUUCAUCUUCAAUGGGUUUCAUGAUUCAGGCGACCAAAUGAGCUUAAAUGGAGUUGCAGGCAUUACAAAGAGUGGGUUACUCCGUUUAACCAAUAUUACCCAAGAUGCAAUUGGCAGAGCUUUUUACUCAUCUCCUUUUCAGUUCAAGAACUCCAGCAAUGGCAAAGCUUUUUCUUUUUCAACAGCUUUUGCUUUCGCCAUGGCUCCUGCGUACCCAACCCUUGGUGGCGGCCAUGGCCUUGCUUUUGUUCUUUCUCCUUCAAAACAAAUUGCAGGUUAUCACAGUCAAUAUCUAGGCUUGCAUAAUCCAAGUGAUCAUCAUGGGAAUAAUUCAAGUAACCAUGUUUUUGCAGUAGAGUUUGAUACUUGGAGAAAUCUAGAGUUUGGUGAUAAAGAUGACAAUCAUGUUGGCAUUGAUUUGAGUAGCAUGCAUUCAAAUGCUUCAGCAACUGCUGGAUAUUUCCUUGAGAACUCAACAAUGCAAAAGUUGAAUCUCAAUAGUGGGAAAGUGAUUCAAGCUUGGAUUGAUUAUGAUUCAGCUAUAAAUCGAUUAGAGGUUAAGCUUUCAACUUUAUCUAAGAAACCCAAAAAAUCAAUCUUGUCCUUUGGUGUUGAUCUCUCACCAUUUCUCCAUGAUUCCAUGUUUGUGGGGUUUUCAGCUUCAACAGGUAAGCUUGCAAGCUCUCACUACAUCUUGGGAUGGAGUUUUAACAUGAGUGGAGAGGCUGAAUCUUUGUCUUUACCUUCUUUACCUUCACUUCCAAGGCCUAAACAAAACUACACUGCCUUAAUCCUAUGUGUCAUAUUUCCAGCUGUUCUUUUAAUGAUAUCACUUGCUUUCAUCUCGUUUUACCUUGUUAGGAACAUGAAGAAUUUAGACAUGAUUGAGGCUAAGGACCUUGAGAUUGGUCCUCAAAGGUUUUCUUAUCAAGAACUCAAGAAAGCAACAAAGGGUUUCAAAGACAAAGAGCUACUUGGUUUUGGUGGAUUUGGCAGAGUUUACAAAGGAACUCUGCCAACCACAAACACUCAAGUUGCUGUCAAACGAAUCUCUCAUGAAUCAAAGCAAGGGAUAAGAGAAUUCCUGUCUGAGAUUUAUAGUAUCGGUCGACUUCGCCAUAGAAAUCUUGUUCAGUUUCUAGGAUGGUGUCAAUGCAGAGGUGAUCUCUUAUUAGUCUAUGAUUUUAUGCCUUGUGGUAGCUUGGAUAAGUACCUGUUUGAUGAGCCAAAACAAGUUCUAAGUUGGGAACAUAGGUUCAAGAUCAUCAAAGGUGUGGCUUCAGGUCUUUUGUAUUUGCAUGAAGAAUGGGAACAAACUGUAAUUCAUAGAGACAUCAAGGCAGGCAAUAUUCUGCUAGAUUCUGAGCUAAAUGGAAGACUUGGUGACUUUGGUUUAGCCAAGUUAUAUGACCACGGCUCGAACCCGGGCUCGACCACGGUGGUUGGCACAUUUGGGUACUUGGCACCUGAGCUUCCAAGAACUGGUAAGCCUAGUACAAGUACUGAUGUGUUUGCAUUUGGUGCACUUUUGCUUGAAGUGGCAUGUGGGAGGAGACCUAUUGACCCAAAGGCAUUGCCUGAGGAGCUGAUCUUGGUGGAGUGGGUGUAUGAGAAGUGGCAAAGUGGGGCAGUUCUUGAAGUUGUGGAUUCAAAAUUGAAAGGCGACUUUGAUGAGUGUGAGGCUAUUCUUGUGAUUAAACUGGGCUUGAUGUGUUCCAAUGAAGUGCCAGAGGCGAGGCCUACAAUGAAGCAAGUUGUAAGGUACUUGGAGGGGGAAGUGGCACUGCCGAAACUGGUGCCAUCACCUGGUGGAUAUGGUAGAAACGAGGGCAAUCGAAGUGACAGUAUCGCGUUCGAAGAUUAUGUGCAUUCGUAUCGAAAUUCAUCGUCCGCAUGCUCAUCGGCUUUUGAAAACCAGGACAUAGAUGUUGAAGCAGGUUUAACAACACAUAUCAAUCUCAGCAGAGGAAAUGGCAGAUAGCCAUUGAAGAGCAAGACAGAGUUCUUUGCCUUUUUAGGAAUGUUUUUAGAGAAAUGCUUUUUUUUCCUUCUCUUCAAGGAUUGUUAAAAGGAUUAUAUUUUUGUAUUAUGUUCAAAGAAAUGUUUUGUAAAAAAGGGUAAAAACAAAAACUGUAAUUGCAAUAGUGCUUCGACCUGUGAUUACAAUUUUAACUACGAAAUAAAUAAAAAUACUUUCUUACAAUACAACUAAUGAUUCAAGUCUUAGCACUUGCAACCUCACCAUUAUACAAAAAUUACAUCACUCUCCCACUAGCUUAUCCUUCGCAAGCUUAGCUUGCUUACAAAAACAAUACACAUAUACACAUCCCUCACAUGAAUAAAGUUGUGCUCUAUAAAAUGUGACUUUACUUGUUCCGCAAGUAACUUGACUUAAUCAUCAAGAAACUUCAAAUCUUUAAUUUUAAUUUAAUUGGUCUUUACUCAUCCAAAAUCAUAAAAGAUAAAUAGUCAAAUGCUUUUGUUCUAAAAUUUAAAACUUAAUUGGUCUAAUUUUGGUUUUAAGUCCCUCCACAAUGCUAAAACUUGAAAUUUAUUUUUUCUCCUUUAAUUUGACAUAAUUCCGUCCCUACUCUCUUUAUUUUUUGAAUUGCUAAUUUUCCGUUAUUUCAUUAACAUUUUCUGUUAAUUCUAUUUGAAAAUCCAAGCAUAAUCAUAAAUUUACCCCUUAAUUCUUAUAACUUUGGUUGCCUCCAUAUUUUUUCUUUUAUAAAUCAGUCCUCAAUCUUUUAUUUUUGUAGUUGAACAAGAAAAAAAGCAUUUAGUUUUUGUAAAAUUGAACAAAUUCCACAACAAUUUAGUGGAAUCCCUAAACAUUACACUAGAUGCUGAUAUGACAACUCGUGUUUUAUGUUGAAAAUUUAAAAAUUAUAAAAAAAAUUAAAAAAAUUGUUUUAUUUUAAUUUUAAACAUUAAGCAUAUUUUAAUUUCCCGCUAAUUCUGCUUGUGGAAACUAAAAACUUUUUACGUUCAUUAAUAUUCAAAGCUAAUAAUUCCAAUUGAUUAAAAGUUUAACUUUAAAAUGUUAUUCCUUUAAAUUAUGUUCUUUCAAUACCAAUUAAGUACGUAUAUUACACUCUCAUACAAACCUUUUCAACAUUUAAUCUUUAUUUAAACAUCGAUCUCUCAAGUUAAAAGGCUUAAUGCAUAUUUUAGUUCCUAAAAUAUAUUGGACUUUUUUAACUUUGGUUAUUAAAGUUUUUCUUAUCCAUUUCAGUCCCUAAUAUUAUCAGAUUUUUCUAGUUUAGUCCUUUGAACUCGACUAAAAUAUCUAACCAAUCAUAUACUGCUACAUGUCAUACAAUGUCAUCCGAAAAAGCAUUAAAAAUCUUUAAAAAUGAAAAAGUACAAAAAUUAAAAGAAGUUACAAAAUUAUUAAAAAUUGAAAAAAAUUAUAAAAUUACAAAAAAUUAUAUAAAUAAUUACUUAAAUUACUAAAUUUUUUUAAAAAAGUAGAAAUUUUAAUAUUUUUAAAAUUAUAUGAACCACAUUUCCUAGAGUAUGAGGUUAUUGUCUCUUGGAAGGAUAUCGCAUAUGAUAAUUAUCUUACGAUUCAAACAAUCAAAAUUUGGAUUUUUUUCAAAUUAUUUAAAUAAAAAAAUAGUAUUUAUUAUUUAAAUGAUCGUUCAAUUUCUAGUAACUGUGAUUUAUAAAAUUUUAAAAAUAUUAAAUAUAUUUUUUAAAACUUUUAAUAAAUUUUUAUAUUGUUUUUGUAAAUUUUUAAAGAUUUUUUACGAUUUUCGAAUGAUAACGUGGUAGCAUAUGAUUGACUAAAUAUUCUAGUAAUUAGUUUUUAAUGUCCAAAGGUCUAAAUUGGGAAUAUCUAAUAAUAUUAGAGACCGAAGUAAGCUAAGAAAACUUUAAAAACUAAUAUAUAUAUAUUUUAAAGACUAAAUUGUGCAUUAAGCCAAAUUUAAACAUUUUUCUUAAUCUCUAUCUAGCAAUUACAGAAAAUAGAUAUUAUACUUCCAUAUAGAAAAUUUAACAAAUCUUUGCUACUGAGUAGACCACAAUUGUUAAUUUCUUUUUGAAAAAUGAAAUUCGUUCAAUAUUUUUUAAAUUUGAUUAUCGGCUGGGUUUGGACUACGAAAAAUUAGUUUAAAAUUUUAUCUAAACUCAGCUCAGAUUAAAAAUGCUAAACUCGAACUCGAUCUGACUCGCCCGUAUUAAAUUCUGUUAGAUUAUUUUUUAUAUAAAAAUAAAUUUAAACAAUAUAAUACAUUAAAUACAUUAAGAACAUUAAAAUAAAUGUUUCCCAACAAAUUGAAAAUACAGAAAUCUUCAUACUUAAAUAACAAUAAGAUAGUUGUAGCUUAACAAGCAAAUACCUCUAAAAUAGUAGCAAAAUUAACAAUAAAACAAUAGUUAUACAAUAUCCAAACAAUAACAACAAAAUAGUAACAAUAUAAUAAUGAAAUGGUAGCAAAACAAUAACAAAAUAACUGAUUCGGGCCGAACCCAAACCAAAAAAUUCUACCCGAUGCUUGACCCAUUUAGAAAAUAGACAUUAUUUUUUGUCUCAACCCUUUUUUUCAAGCCUAUCUAAAGUUUUCAAACACUUCACAUUUUUUCCACUAUUAUUCCUAUCUAAAGUUUUCAAGGCUGCCAUUUUGACAACAUCAUUGCUUUCAGCAAAACCUCUCAAGUUUCCUAGUUUAACAAGAAGUACCUUUUGUAGACGAAGAAAACCUCGAGCCAGAGCAAGUGGAAAGACAUAUUUUAGAUUUGGGCAUUCUUUUAUCUCCAUAUUUUUCAAGUUCGGCAAAUAAAGUGUGUUGGAUUCAGCAUUACUUUCCACCUCCAUGAAAACUCUUUUCAGUUCAUUGCAACCAACUAUCUUGAGUUCUUCCAGUACUAUUAGGCUUCGAACAAUGGAUAUUGAGAAGAGAGAUUCCAAUUUCUCCCAGCUUAUUAUUUCUAAAACCUUUAGACAUUCGAGGUCGACACAAUGGGUGGGGCUUUUUACUAUCCAUCUCAAGUCUGGUAAAGACGAUAACUCCAAAAGCUCCAAAUUUGAGAGUAGUGGUGCUGCGUUAUUUGCUUCAUCAACUCGGAAUAUCUCAGACAUGCAGGCGAAUUAACACUCAAUUAUUUGAGACCCAUCAUUGUUUUUGAUGUAUCAACCAAGCAUUCACCACCCUCUCAAUUGAGAAUUUUAAGGGAAAUUAAUUCAUCUAGAAUUUUAAGGCUGAUCCUUGUGUUACAAGGUUAGAACUUAAAUCUAGCAAACCGUGCGACCUUAAGCUGAUUUGAGGUAAUUUUUUUGCUUCAAAUUCGCUUAAGUUAACUUAACUAUAAAAAAUAAGAAUUUUUAAAUUAAGAAUUCUUUAACCAAAUAAAGCAAUUCAACAAAUGUUUGAGUAAAUGUUCUCAAUAUAUUUUUUAACUCAAAAAAUAAAGUGGGAAAUGUCUCUAUUUAUGGUUGAGUUUUCCCAAAUCCAACGGUACAAAUUAAAUUAUAUUAACAGUUGAGAUUAAUGCCUAUUACAAAUGAGAACAUUACAUGUAUAAAACUUGCUUGGUAGGCAGCUUUGAAAACAUUACAUGUAUAAAACUUAACUAAACCAGGCACAGAUUCAAUUAAAUAACUAGGAAAGGAGAAAAAGAAAGCACCUUGAGGAUAGCCUUCUCAUCUUUUAAAUGAACAAAUGAAUCAGUUAAUAGAGGGCAGGCCGACACUGAAAACUCCGUCAAUGGUUUCGGAAACUGCACGGGUCGGGGCGCGUCCCUUCCUUCAUUGCAUCUGACCACUUGCUUCAAUUGAGGGCAAUCAUGAAUAGGAAGAUUUUCAAGCUCCGGAAGCUCUUGUGGCGCCAUCAAAGCCGGAAAAAUAUACUCCAAACCAUCACACUUUACUAUGUAGAGUUCUCGUAACUUUGGGAAACACAAAGAAUCAUGAGGAUCGACGCUCGAUGAUAUUUCUCCUUCAUCAUCUUCCAAUUCUGUGACAAUUUGCUUCAAUCCAUGACAGUCAGAUAUCUCAAGGAUUUCUAAGAGCAUCAAACUUUAAGCAAGACAAAGUGGAAAGAGUGAGUUCAAACUUGGGCAAUUAUCUUAUCCUCAGUUCAACUAAACCUUCCUUUCUUGGCCUUUGGCCCAAGUUAAAGAGAUUAUCCGGGGUCGUUUAAGGAGGAAGACCAAUUAAUAGAAUUGAUCCCGUUAAUGGUUCACUUUAUGUUUCUUGCGAUAUUAUUGAUUAAUUUAUUUAUAUAACUUCAAAGUUAUUUUUUAGUAUUUUUAUGUUCUUUUGUAGCAGUUUAAUUGCCUUUUUGGAUUAAUGAAUUUCAUCAUUCAUUCAAAAAAAUUAAUUUUCAAAUAUUUUAUUUCAAUUUAAUUAUAUCAAUAUAUAAAUAUUGAUAUAAAAAUAUAUUUUAUUAUUUUUAAAAUCAAACCUCGAUCCAGUUUGAUUUAUGAACACUUCUAAUUUUUACUAGUGAGGAGAUAUAUGAGUUAAAUCAAUAAGACAUUAAUGUUUGUUUGUAUCUAUAUUAUAUAUAAAAUAGCUGAGUGAGUUGGUGUCAUGAGUGAACACGAUACCAAUUUAGUUGUGAGAUAUUAAAUACCCUUACUUUUAAAGGCAAUUAAUAUUAUUAUAAAUGUAUUUUUACCUUUCAAUACUUUUAUACAAAAUCUUAAAUAAAACAACUGAAAAAUACUAUUUGAAAAUUAAACAGAAGUCCAACAAUUUUAAAUUGAAAUCUCUUACAGCUACACCAAUAAUCAUUUGUUAAAAUAAUUUAUUAUUUUUUAAUAUAAAAUAUUUUUAUUCACCCAUAUAGUUUAGAACCAAUGUAUCCGGUAAUAAAAAAAAAACAGAUUUUAGCUUAUAAGCAGUUCUUGAAGCUGUGGAUCCAAAAUUGAAUGGUGAAUUUGUUGUGCCUGAGGCAGUUCUUGUGAUCAAACUCCGGUUGAUGUGUUCCAACGAUGCGCCCGAGGAAAGACCUAGUUGGUGGGGGAGUGGCACCACCACAACCAGUGCCAUCACCUGGUGGACAUGGUGGCAAACAUAUCGAGCUCAUCAUUUGAAAUUUUCGUCCAAAACAAUGUUCGACAAAUUUUCACAAUAACUAAUAUCGUAUAAUCAAUUGUUUAGGCUUUUUUUUUUCGCAUUUUUAAUCUAAAUCACAUCAAUCAUUGAAUCAUUGCUUUAUUGAGAAUGCUAACGGGAAAUUUGUCAACUUGUCUUUCUUUUUUAUUUUUCAAACUAGCUGAGACCCCAUUAAAGUGUCUCUUGUCAAAUUAUUUAUGGGACAUAAAGUGAAAGAAUCUUAUGCUCAAAAGCAACAAUAGUAACGUGGAGAUCACAUGAUUGGUACCUUUGAAAUCAAACUCUAUAUCUUUUGUAGUGAGAAUUAUGAUAUACAUUGACCCCCCCACUAUCUCAUGUUGGAAAAAAAGAAAGUGUAUGAUAAUUAACAGCUUUUGAAAUAUAUAAUCAUCAUUUAUGUGAUCAUAAAACUCUUGAUUAUGCUUUGAUUUGCAUAAGUUUCAAGCUCUUGGGAAGGAGUGGCAAUCAUGAUUUAUUAUGUUACUCGAAUUCCACAGAUUGUUUAUGUGAAUACGUAGUGUAAAUAUUCGGAUUUUCAUAUUUGUGAAUGUACGGAAUAUAAAUAAGUUUUUAGUAAAGUAAAACAGUAUAAGUGAGACAAGCGAACAAAUUAGAAUUCGUCAGAAGUAACUCUCUAAUCGAAGACGGAAGUUCCUCCAAUAGAUGAAAUUUCAAUAACUUUGGAUCUUCAAUUUUGGCCAAAAUAUCUGCCAUUGUAUUUUGCGCCCGAGGAAUAUGUUUGAUACGAACCUCCCAAGAUCAAAUAAGCAUGUGAUGUAUCAAUCGAAGUUCCGUCAACCUGCUAUUUGCAGCACCGCCAACAAGAAUAAUCUCAAUCAACAAAGCGGUAUCACACUCCAAUUCCAACUUCUGAAAUCCUUUGUUUCAUGCUAAGUGAAGCCCUUCAAGCAUCGCCCUUGCUUCAACCUGAAAUACUGUACCUUCUACAAUCGACAUUGAAAAACCACAUUGCCACAACCCAUUAACAUCUCUAAUAACACCUCCAACAGAGGCACAAGCCCUUGAAGAGAACACAACACCAUUAGUAUUAAAUUUAACAUAACCCUCUUCAGGAGGUGACCAUUGUGAACCUAUUACCCGAGGAUGAGAAUGAAAACGUAUCUGUAUGCUCGAGGUUGCAUAAGUUUUAUGGAAGAUAGUAGAUGAAACUAUAGCAGUCAUGAUUUAUUAUGUUACUUGAAUUCAAUCUAAUUGUUUACAAAAGUGUAAAACAUGAGAACGAAUGUGUUCGAUUUAAAGAAUGGGUUUUCAAAUUCAUGUAUGACAAACAAAUGUUGGGUGUAAUGGUAAGGUACAUUGUAGUCCCAAAAGGAGAUAAAUUCAAAUUUUGGAGAUGACAUUAUUGGAGGGGCAAUCACGAAACUCGAAUAUGGACAGUUAAACGGACAUAAAAAUUGAGAUUAACUAAAUGUAUCCAAAUAUUCGAUUUAAAUAAAUUUAAAGAUUUUGGAAGAAAUUAUACCAAUCAUACUCAAAUUGAGUAUUGAUUUUUUUUUCAAAUUUUGGUAUGUGAAACAUGAAUAUUUAAAGAAAAUGAAAAAUGGAGCUAAUAAAAAAGUAACUAUAUCUUUAGCGGUUUAAAUCUUCUUUUAAUAGCGAAAAAGUGGCAGACCACUCUUUAACAUGUAGUUACUCUUUAAACCUUAGCAAAAGACCAGCAAGCAGUUUCACUUUCAUUCAUCAAAUUUCAAAAAACAAAAUGCCAAAAUCUUCAAAUCAUUUUAUCUUCUUGUUUCUUUCCUGCAUUUUCGUUUCCACAGGUACAGAAAAUUUUUCCCAGAUUUUUGGUCUAAGCAUUGCAUUUUUCAUCACUAAAAAUGGUUUACUAUUUUCUCGCAGAUGCCAUCCAACUGGUACUAGUAAACAACUGCAAAGAAACAAUAUGGCCAGGAAUCCUCGGCGGCGCCGGCCACGAAACACCCCGAGGCGGCGGCUUCCCUCUCAACUGCGGCGAACAAACAACCCUCGAACUCCCUGAAAGAUGGUCGGGUCGAAUCUGGCCAAGACAAGGUUGCUGUUUCGACGAAACCGGCAAAGGCUCAUGUCAAACAGGUGAUUGUUCAGGCCUUUUACAGUGCCAAGGCAUCGGCGGAAAUCCACCGGCAACGCUCGUUGAAAUGACACUCGGUGGUCCAACAUCGGGUCUACAUUACUACGACGUGAGCUUAGUCGAUGGAUUCAAUGUCCCCGUCUCAAUGGUCCCUAUAGGUGGUGGCGUUGGGUGUGGAGUAGCCGCCUGUGAGACUGAUUUAAACGUUUGUUGCCCGGCGGCAUUGGUGGUGAAGAAAGAAGGGAAAGUGGUGGGGUGUAAGAGUGCAUGUUUAGCUGCUAAAACCGAUAGGUAUUGUUGCACCGGUGAGUUUGGGGAUCCAAAAAGCUGUAAGCCCACCAUUUUUGCUCAUCUUUUUAAAGCUAUUUGUCCAAGAGCUUAUAGCUACGCUUUUGAUGAUGCUUCAAGUCUUAAAACUUGUAGGGCUCCUAGGUAUCUCAUUACCUUUUGUCCUCCUAACUGAUGUCGUUUCAUUGUUGAGAUCAUUGAGUUUCUAUUAUGGUUUGAGGUUUUUUCCUUAUGUUAUUAGUAAAUUGUUGAAUUUGUUGCUUUAAUUGUAUGUUUUUGAAUUGAUUUCAUGGUAGCUAUGAUGGUAUCUUUUUGUUGUGUAUGAUCUUUAUAAUGUUCUGACUUGAAUCUUUUACUAGAAUCCAAGGUUUUGGUUUUACUUAAAAUAUUAACAAACCAUCAAAAUCACACACAUAUUUUGCUUAACUCAUAUCUGCAUAUAUACUCAUUUGAUUUUGUAUCAUAUAAUUUCUUUCUAUAAACUUUGAAGGCUUGGUGGGGAACUAAAAGUCCAACAUUCUACUAAUGGACCACAUGUCUAUUAGUGGAUCAUGGCUUUAAAUUCUCUCAGAUAGACUUAGCUUGUCAAAUAAGUUUUUUUUGGAUUGGGUGAACUUAAAAUUUUUUUAGGUUUUAUUUGGAUUUGAAAUUUGACUUCAGGUCAUUUGGGAUUAUUUGUUUCUAUCAUUUUUAAAGCGCUUUAGUCAUUUUGGAUUAGGUUAGUUUUAAGUUUAGAUAUUUUUGGUUUGAGUUUGAGACCUUUGGAUCAUUUUGGGUUUAGUUUAUUUUUCUGAUUUUGUCAUUUUUUAUCAUUAUGAGUUCAAAUUAUUUUAGAUUCAAUUCAUUUUAAUAUCAAAUCAUUUUGGGGUUUGGGUUAAUUCAAUUUGAGUUAUUAAUUUUUUUAUAAUUAAAUCUCAGCUUUAUUUGAAUUUAGAUUAAUCAUUUUGAUUCGCAAUCAUAAAGAUAAUACAUCUCAAUCGCUAUAAUCACUGCAACCAGAAUUAAACAUUAUAAACCCUUAAAAGAAAUUUAAAGUUGCAAAGAACUCUGUCCUCAUUAAAGCUUUUGACAAUCUUGAUUCUUCAUCCACAAACUUUUUUAUUAAAAAAUAAAUUAAAAUUCCAAGUUGGAUGAUUAAUUUCUCCCAUGAAUAUCAUAAUAUAUUUUACCUAGUAAUCCUAACAUGAAUUCUUAACAUUAAUUGCAUAAUAAAAUAGAUGAGGCAUGUGCUUAGGUUCCAUAACAAUUUCAACAUAUAAUAAAUUGAAAGUUCAUCUCAAUUUAGUAUUACAAUGAUCAAAUCCCACUUUUCACCCACCAUUUUUAAGUAUCAAGUCAAAACCAGAAGCAAAGCUCCCAAAUUUUUGCUGGAAGAUAAACCAAGUUCCCAUUGAAAGAAUCAACUUUGCUACCAUUUUUGCUAUUAAUGGAGCUCAAAGUUGUAAAAGCAAGUGUUGAGAAGGGGGAGGGAUUGGGAUGGGGCAAAUCUUUGCUAGUUCCAAGCAUCCAAGAGAUAUUGAAGAAUGAUUCUCAAUCAGUCCCUGAAAGAUACAUACAAGAACCGAAAGACAGGCCAUUAAUUUCUCAGAACCUGUUUGAUUCACUUCAAGUCCCCGUCAUAGAUUUCUCCAUGUUAGCUCAAAAGGAUGCAAAUGAAAUAAGGAAGCUAGAUCUUGCCUGCAAGGAGUGGGGCUUUUUCCAGGUAAAACCAAACACCUGUAUUAAGCACAUAUUCGUAUUUGACACUCACCCGGGGUUAUCCUAUUUUUGUAGAUAAUAAAUCAUGGGGUUAGAGAGGAGAUCAUGGUUAACAUGAAGGCAGCUAUGGCAGCUUUCUUUGAAUUGCCAUUCCAAGAGAAAUCCAAGUGUGCAAAGGGAGCUAAUGAGAUUCAAGGGUAUGGGCAAAACUUUGUGGUCUCAGAGAAACAGAAACUUGAUUGGUGUGACAUGAUGUUCUUAAAGACAUUUCCCCAUGAAACCAGGAAUUUCAAGUUUUGGCCACUCACUUUACCAGGUUUCAAGUAUGCAUUCUUUCUUGUUUGUUAAGCUAUUAUGUUACUCGGGCAAUACAGGUAUGUAUCUGAUACGGAUAUGUUGAAACAGAGAGGCGGUGGAAGAAUAUUCAACAGAAAUACGAAAGGUUUCGAACAAGAUCGAUGCUAACUUAUCGGUGUUAAUGGGGAUGGACAAAAAUGGAUUGAAAAGGAAGCUAGGAGAGUUUCAACAAGGAAUAAGAAUGAACUAUUAUCCAACAUGUUCAAGGCCUGAUCUUGUUCUUGGUAUUAGUCCUCAUUCUGAUGGAAGUCUAUUCACUUUGCUACUACAAGAUGAUGAGAUCAAUGGCCUUCAAAUUAAGCACAAAGAAGUAUGGAUUGAUGCUAAACCAAUCCCGAAUUCUCUUGUGGUCAACAUUGGUGAUGCUAUCGAGGUUAGCUAUAAUGUUUUUAUGAGUCAAAAGAUUUUACCAAUGGUCAAAUUUUGCAUUAGCCCCUAUAUUAUGUGUGAUGGAUACUCGAAUGGUAGCUAUUAAAUUCAUUAAGUCAAAUUCAUCCCUUAGAAAAAAAUUUCUAAAUUCUAGCAUAAUGACUUAAUGGAUUUAAUUUGACCUUUAUCAAUCCUAGAAUACAAAUUCUGUUUCCUGUCUUGUUUUUAUCAGAUUCUGAGCAAUGGAAUGUAUAAAAGCAUUGAACAUAGAGCUAUCAGCAAUGAGAAGAAACCCAGAAUGUCAAUUGCAACAUUUGUGAUGCCAGGUGAUGAAGUCCAAAUAGGUCCACUGGAUUCAAUGGUGAAUGAGAAGCAUCUCCCUAGAAGUUAUAGAAACAUCAAGUACAUCGAUUACAUCAGGCAAAAGUUCGCCAUGAAAAUGCAGGGAAAAGCUCACACCGCCAUUGUUAAGCUAUAAAGCAAAAUCAAAAUGCUAGCUCUGUUCUUCAUGUCUGUUUUGUAACAAGUCAAUUUAUGAUAACUCACCACUCUUUAAAACAAGAGUAGUAUUGAAUUCUACAUUGCAUAACUCUAACAAUCAAAUUAUUGAAUUCUGUUGUAUAAAAAAUAUCUUGAAAAUUAAAUUUUUUACAAAAAAUUUCAUUUACAAAACUAUAAAAACUUUACCAGACUAAUUUGAUAACGUAAUAAUAACAAAUUAGGUUCUGAUUAUAUCUAUUUUUUUUAUAGAAUGUUUAGUACUAAUUAUAGCCCCUCCCAACUUAUAAAUGGGAGGAUAAUGAGUUUCAGCAUACUCGAAACCACGUCCUUUUGCAUUGGCAACAAUGCGCAUGCCAAUCAAACUAAGACUCAAUCGACUUUAAAAAAUACAUUUAAAUUUAUUAAAAUUUAUACAAAAUUUAUCGAUAUGUCAAAAUUUUUAUAAAUGUUAUAUAUACCAAAUGUAUAUAUUGAAUAUGAUGAUGACUAUAGGAAAAAAAAAAACAAUAUGAAUAUACAAGAUACAAAAUUUGGGAGUAAAUGUCAUGUUGAUGUAGUUAUGCUACACUCAUAUUACUUUUUAUACAAUGUUUGUAUUUUUUUAUUUAGAAUAUCAUGAAUAUACAAUUACAUGCAAUUAAUUCAUUUCAUAUAGAAUUCAAUUUAGAGAAUAAUUUGUAUGUUAAUUUUAUAUUAUAUUUCUAUUAAUCUCGUAUUUUACAUAAUUUUUAAUAUCUAUAAUUUAUAGAAGAAUAUUAAUUCAUAUUUUUUUGUUUGUUUUUUUUCUUGUAAUUAAAAUGUUAUGAAUUUCUAUAAAAUUUUACAUGCUGGCUUGAAACUUUGGAAAUUUUAGUUACUUUAUGAUUUUUAAUAUAUCUUGAGAUUUUUUUAAAUUUUUUUUAUUAGAAUGUUUAAAUUUUGAAACUACGAUCACAACAUUUGUGAAAAAUUGUUAAAAAAAAAAAUCCUCUUUAUAGAAUUUUAGGUUUUUUUUUUCAAAAUUUUAGAAAAAGAAGUUGGAAAUUUUUAUGAUUUAAUAUUAUUAAGAAUUUUUAUAUAUAUUUUUAGUGUUAAAUUAUUUAUUAUUUUCUGAACUUUAUAUAAAUUUUAAUGAAUUUUUUGAAUUUUUUAAAAUAAUUUUUAAAGAUAAUUUUUAUUUUUAUUUUUUAAAAAUUUAAAACUUUUGGAAGUUUUUUAAAUUCUUUGAAUUUUUAAAUAAUACUUUUAAAUUUUAAAAUAUAUUUUUAAAUUAUUAUUAUUAUUAUAUAACUUUUAAGUUUUAAGUUUUUUUUUGACAUUUUUGAUUUUUUAUGAUUUUUUCGACUUUUAGAUUUUCUUUGAUUUUUGAAAAAAAAAAUUCAGCCAACCCUUAUUAAUUUUUCUUAUUUACUCACUUUGAAAAAGUAGAAGAAUUAAAUUAAAUUUUUAGAGAUCAAUUUACCUAAUUUUAAAAUUGACAAAACCUGUCGAUUGAGUUUUAGCUCAAUUGUCAUUGACAUUGUUGCCAAUACAGGAAUAUGUGGGUUCAAGUGCGUUGAAAUACAUUAUCCUCCUAUUUAUGGGUUAGGGAGUGACUAUAGUUCUAGGCAUUGUGUCAAAAAGAACAAAUAUGAUCAGAACAAAUAUGAUCAGAACUUAUAAUAAAAUUGUUUAAAAAUUGACAAAAACAUGUUCUGAGAACGGACUCAAAUGGGGCACAAACAUUUUCUUUCUUUAACAAAGGAAAAAGACUGGAUUUCCCCAUCACAACAAAAACUUUACAUAUUGGAGUUGUCAAUUAUCCAAUAUUCUUCAAUCUUCAAUUAAGGAUUUUCAGGACACAUUUAGUUAAGGGUUCUCAAUGCAUAAGCGGCACCUUUUAUACUAAGUCAUAGAUUCGAUUUUAUUUUUGUUAUAUAUGAGAAUAUAUCGGUGUAAAACUAAAAUAGUUUUAUAUCCUUUCGUAUGAUUAAUAUUUUAAUGAUUAAACCGUCAUAUUUCAUUCAUAUAUAUUAUGCAUGUCAAGUUUAACAUGAUAAAACUUUCAACCGUUCAAUAAAUAUUAAUAUAUACAUUAUUUUAGAGAUAAAAAUAUCGAAUCAAUUAAAAAAAUUAUUUACAUAACAAGUACAAUUAUAUUAAUAGAUUCAAGGAGUUUUACAUUAAUGUAAAUGGAUCCCUUUCUAUAUAAUAAUACUAAUACUAAUACUAAUAAUAAUAAUGGAAGUAGAACAAUCAAAUUUAAUCCGAACUUAAAAACCUAAUUUGAUUAAUCCGAAUUUAAAUUUAAUUUAAUCUUAGCUAAAAAUAAUUCGAACAAAUAAUCUUAAAUAACUUACAGAAAUUGAUUCAAAUCUAAACUAAUUUAAACCGGAAAUUAUUUGAAAGUUUUAGAAUUCAAAUUCACCCUACUCAAAACAUGUUUAAAUGGAAGUGAAUGGUUUACAAGUAGAAAUAGAAUAAGAACAAUUAUGAUUAAGAUAGGAUUACAACUUCACUUAAAACUUUAUUUAGGCGUCGUUUAAGUUUUAGUUUGAUUGACAUAGACAUUGUUGUUAUUGCAAGAAGAUGUGGGUUUGAGUGGCUAAAGCGCAUUAUCUUUCUAUUUAUGAGUUCAGGAGGGACUAUGGAUAGUUUUAGAUAUUGUGUAAAAAAAAUAUAAUCAAAACUUAUUAUGAGAUCCUUUAAAAAAAAUAAAAAAUAAAAAUGAAUUUUUUUGAAUUAAAAAUAAAUAAUUAAUUUGUGUAUGACACGUGGUAAUAAACUAAUAUAAAUAUAUUAUCUAGAAAAUAAAAAUUAUUAAUAUAUAAAAAUUUAUAUAAAUAAAAUAUUCUUUUAAACACAAUUAAGAAAUUUAUAAACUAAGGGUCUGUUUGAUUGGCGUAUUUCAUUUUCCGGAAAACAUUUUCCCUCUUUUACGGUGUUUGAUUGACCAAAGGAAUUGAUUUUCCGGAAAAGCAACUUCAACACACGGGAAAAUCAAGCCCUUCUUUGCGUAAAAUGUCUUACAGAUUUUUUUUCCGUAAGACAUUUUCCGGAAAACACAGCUUCAACCUCUCAUUUCCUCCUCAUUUCCUCUCCGUCCAUCAACGUCAGCCUCUCCUCCUCAUCGGUGUGCUUCUUCUUCUUGGGUUAUCAACAGGUUCUGUUCUCCUUUUCUCUGUGUAUUAUUUUUGUUGAUCGUGAUUUUUUCUUGGGUGUGCCUUUCCUCCUUUUCUCUGCUGUUUUUCCUCCUCUACUUUCUUGAUCUAAUUUUUUUUUUGUUUCUUUGAUUGAGUUUUUAUUUCAGUUAUUUUCUAAUUUCAGUUUUGAUUGUUAAGGGUUUCUGCAAAUGGGUAGUUUUCUGCAAAUAUUUUCUGCAAAUCAGUUUCUGGGUUAACUGGAAAAUGGGUAAUUUGGAUACUUUAGCACCCCAUCAUGCAUGCGUAUGCUAUAUAGCUUCUGCAAUGUUUGCUAAAUUUCAUCUGUAAGUUCUCUUGACCUCCAACUUGGUCGAUUUAAGGAAGGAGAAAAGUAUGAAUAUUUUGGCUGAUCAUCAAUGUCUCAUUUACAUUCUUAUAAAAAAGAAUACAUUUUUUAACUAGAAGAAUAUCAGUCUUAUUUUAUCAUACAUUAUAGAUGGUCAAAAGUCAGCAACUGCAUUUGUUCUGCAUUUGUAGCUUUCAAUCAACUUGGAAGCUUAAAUGAGUGUCGAAACUUGUUCUGCAUUUGUAGCUUUUAAAGGUGCUUUAGUUGGAUGGUCAUGAUUAUCAUAUUGUUGCAAUUUAUUGUCUUGUUUUAUUAGUUAAUAGGAGUAAAUGUAAAAUGUUCAUUGGCUUUUAAAAUGUUGGAAUUCUUUGAAUUACUUGAAAUGCUUAAUGAUGUAAACUUGAAGUGCUUUUUUUUUUGAUAAAGAUGGUUACUGAUAUUAUUGGAUUCUUAUCAAUCUGGUUUUCUUUACUAAAGAACCUUGAUUUGUGUUCAAUGAUAGUGGGCUGAUGUUGCUGGCUUUGGAUGCUAGCCAGAUUCCUGCUUAUUUCAUACCUGCUUUGGGACCUGUUCCCAAGUGGUGUUCUUCGCUGGAAUCUCUUACGGUGUGUUUUUAACUUGUAUCCUAAUCAAUUUUUGUUUUAUCCUUUUAUUGGAUGUACUAUGUUGGGAUAUGCAGAUGUGGUGCACUAGUGUUUACUUUGUAUAUAUUUUACAGGAAGAGCUUGAGGAGGGUGGACAAACAAGCAUAUAUGACAACUAUAAAUUUUUAACAAAAGAGGAUCUUGAGAAGUUGAAUUUGACAAAUCUAAUUGGGACCAAUCUUCUGCGAGCCUACAUGCACGGGUUCUUUAUUGAAUUUCGUUUGUACAAAAAGGCAAGACUGCUAUUCUUUUUAUUAUUUCUUGUUAAGGAUAUCAUGCAGCUUAAAAACUCCGGAUAAUUGCAUUGUGUCACCUGCUGGAAAUUUGUCUGGUUGGGUGUGUGAAACACGAAAUAUCUAGAAGUAAAUAAAAGUUGAGAUGCAGAAACAAAAAAAAUGAGUUCAGAGUUGCUAGAUUAAAUUCAGAAAGAGAGUUAUGUAAUUUUUCUUUUUUCUGAUCAGAUAGUGCUUUCAAUGCUCAAUGUGGUUCUUUUGUACAUCUUCACUAUUUUGCUGUUUAAUAUUCAUAUUUUUACAUAUAUUUCAAUAUUCUUACUAGUACUCAUUGUGGAUAAUAUUUUUUUAAUUUAUAACAAUCAAUAUUGUAGCUUAUUAUUGAGUAUUAUUAUAAAUAAAUUAUUGCAAUAUAUGUAAAAACAAUUUUAAAAUAUAAAAAUUUAUUAAUAUAUAUUAAUAUAUGUAAAAAACAACUUUUCUGGAAAAUAUUUUCAGGAAAUCUGUCAAACAGCAGAAAAUAUUUUACACUGAUUCAAUCAAACACCAGAAAAUAUUUUCCAGUAAGUCAUUUUACAGAAAAGUAAAACAUUUUCCAGAAAUCAUUUUACGGAAAAUAUUUUACUGCCAAUCAAACAUACCCUAAUUAAUACACAAAUUACCAAUUCAGUAGUAUCCCAAGCAUGAAAAACGAGGCCAUGAGUAUUAAAUUGAAAACUUGAAGUUUACACCUUUGCCGAAAUGGAUCGAUGCCUGCCAUAAAUCACAUUUCUAUAAAUAUAGCCUCAUAAAACCAAGUUUUAUUUUUGGCAUAAUUAGCAGCAAUGGUAAUGAAAACCCAAUUUUGUUACGUCCCAUUUUGAGAAAUAUAAUGAUUUUUUUAAAAAAAAUUUGAGGACUCAGGUUGUAUAUAUAUAUUUAUCGGAAUAUGCUGUUUUUAGAGAGAAAAAUGAAAACGCACUUUAUAAGACGCGUUUUCAAGUCAAAGGUAACUUUCCCCCCAACAGUCACAAUUCCAAUAGCUACAAUACCCCAACAACCAUAUUUUUUUCCUAUAUAAACCCCUCCAAACUUCAUUCUUUUCAAUUCAAACUCAAUUCUCUCGAUAAUUUUGUUUUAAAUCUUUCUCUGAAUCCUAUUCUUUUCGAUUUUAUUUUAUUCCUUAUAAUUUGUAAAAUAAAAAAAUCAGCUUAUUCGUUUGGAUGACAAUCACAUCUCCGACGUUCAAUUAUAAAUGAUAAGAAAAUAUUUUUAAAUUAUUUAAUUUUAAUUAGUUAACUAUUAUGCUAUUAACAUUAUUAAUUUUUUUAUGUUUAUAUACUCAGAUCGAAGAUCAGAUUUUGGAGACGUGCAUACACAAUUUAAGCAAGAGUGGAUCCGUUUUCAUUUAUGGAAACUUGCGAUGUCACAUCCCGAAAAUCGGGUUAGUAGAAUUGGGUUUUUAAGUUGAGGGUUAGAGUCCGGAAUUAAAAUUAGGGUCAUAGAUAAGUAAUUAAAGUAUUAAAGUAACACAAUUGGGUUUUUUUAUUAGCUAGCUUAAAACAAAAUUUAAUUUUGAGGUCUAAUUUGAAAAAAAUGGAUUUUAGUUGGGUUAGGAACUAAUUGAAAAUGGAGAGAAACAGAGAGUGACCAAAAUGGCAAAUUAGUCUUCUACCUACAGUAUACCACUGUCUUCUUCUUUCUUAAACCAACUUAUCCUUUCAAAUUUAUUAACCUCUCAAACACUAAAACAACCCCCAAUUUCAAAAGAAAAUCACGUUUUCAACAAAUUAGAGUUGUAGAUCAUCGUUUUCAACAAAUUAAGGUAAUAUUCUAACUUUUUAGGACUAAAUAAAGAGUUCUUUUAAUUCAAAUUGAGUUUUAAACGAUUGUAUGAGGAUUUAUUUAGAUUUAAUGUUUUCAAAGCAAGCUUUAAUUCAAAAAUGACAAAUCUCAAAAUCUUGAGUAAACUAGUGUUUUCAAAGUUGUUUUUGGUUCAUUCUAACCUAAUUAGAAGGUAUUCCAUCUCAAUUUGAUAGAUCCUAAUCGAUUUUUUAAGAAUCAAGCAUUUUCCCUCUUUUACAUGUUUUUGGAAGCUUGAUUUUUUCAAAAAUUUUAGAACCAUGGAUUUAGGUAAAAUUGAUGGUUUAAAUAUGAAAUUAAAUGAUAUUUAAGAUAUUUGAAAUCAAAUUGAGGAUUAUAAAUGAGAUUAUAAUGUCGAAACUUUAAUUUCGACAAAACUAGCUAGUAUUUGGUAAUCAGAAAUGAGAGGCUUGAAUUGUGUUUUCCUUGCUGUGUGGUUGCGUUCAAGGUUAUUUUUAAUGAUCUUGGAAAGGGUUUGUUGUGUGUGAAAAGUGUCAGAUUAAUUGGGAGCCACUACAAGCAAGUCAAAAGGUAAGGAAAAGUUUGUUUGAGCUUUCGGUUAGUAAGCAGAAGCGUGAUUGGUGAGUGUCUGAAGUCUCUGGUGGUGUGCGCAAUUCGUAUUGUUAAUCGAGAUCUUAGGAUUAGCCUAAACCCUUAUCCUAUGUUUCAACAGUAAGCUUUCUUCUAUUCUUUUUUGCCUUGUUGUAAAAUUAUGCCUAAUAAGGAUGAGUUGUGAUAUGUGAUGCUAUUACAGCAGGUAAUAUAUGAAAUUACGUGAAUAUGAUAUAUGAUAUAUGAUAUACUUAUUUUAAUACACACAUAUGUGGUCUGAUAUAUGAUAGCUCAAUGAGCAUUAUUGUGCCACUUAAAGUGCAAAUAAAUGUGAAUUCGAUAAGCAUGAAUUGUGUAUGAGAUUGUAAUGUGAAUUGAUGAAUAUGAACAGAGGUUAUAUGCAUUAAAACAGUGGUUAAAUAUGUGUAAUUCUGGAUAUUUUGGCCUUGUGUUCUCUUAAAACUAUUGGAUAUGGUUGGCAUGUCAUAGGAUUAUGAGUACUCAUCCUUGUGUUUGGGAUUUGGGUGUUGAGGCCCCGGGACAUGUUGGAGAGAUAAGAGAAUGUCGAGCUAAGCUCUAUUUAUCGGGAAAUUUUGGUGUGUUGGAGAGUGUUUAGCUUAAUGCUACACUUAUGGGACAUGUUAGACACUUUAAGUAAUUGGUGUGUUGGAGAUCCGUUUAUCCAAUGUGUGGUGAUAAAGUCCACUUUUAUGUUUCAUAAUCUCAAACUGCCAAAUUAUCAUUAUUUGAAUUAUAUAUAUAUAUGAAAUAUGUUUUAUGUAAAUGCAUGUGAGAGUAUAUGCUAGGCUUGUGAGAUAAUGAAGCGUGAUUAUAUUAUUUUGACUUGAUGAAUAUAUGGUUGCGAAUGUGCUUUAGUAUGCUCUUGCUUAACUUAUGAUGUCGUGCAUGCUUUGUGGUAAUUUCGAACAUUCACUGAGCUUAUUUAAGGUCACACACUCCUCAUUCACUGAGCUUAACUUAAUUUCGUAUAGAUACCUAACAUACAAAUAUCAAUACUGGCCUAUUUGGUAUUAAUACUUACGUUGGAUUUUUAUCUCUUAAAGUUUAUUAUGGUAGCCAUUUUCCUUAAUUAUUAUGGUGAAUGUAUUUAUAUAACUUUCGAUAGUUGUUGUAGUAUCUUGUAAUUCGGGUUUGACGACUAAACCGAGUGAGGGGUGUUACAUGUGAGAUGCGAGAUUCUUAUACGUGGCUCAUAUGCUUGGGAGGACUAAGUUGGACCCCCUACUUAUUAGUGCUUUGGUGGAAAGAUGGAGGCUGAAGACAGACAUAUUCCAUCUUCUUUAAAGUGAGUGUACAAUUACACUCGAGGAUGUUGGUUUACAACUCGGUCUAUCGAUCGAUGGGGAAGUCAUUACGGGGCCAGUGGUGAGUGUCAAUUGGAGUGCAACAUGAGAGAAACUACUAGGAAAUGUGUCGACCAAGUUUAAGGGUAGUCAGACUGAGAUGGGAUGAUUGGAUGACAACUUCAAAACUGUCGAGGCUUUCGCAUGUGACAUUGAAAAACAAUAAUUCUCGUGCUGAUAAUACUCUAGAAUGACAUAUUUUUAUGUAUUUAUUACAUAUUUAUUUUGAGUAUGAUCCUACUAAUUUGAGCUAUUUAUGGUUUUUGAUCUUGUAGGGACUAAAUUGAAGGUAAAAGGAAAUUUAAGGGAAAAAGUGUGAAUUUAAAGAUAAAAUGGGCCAAUAAAUUUAGGGGAAAAAGCAUGAAUUUAAAGAAAAAAUGGGCCAGUAUGCGAAAUAGGAAAGAAGUGGUGCCUAAAAUGCAAAGUGUGAAAGACUUGGGGGUAAAAGUUCAAAGAAGAGAUUUUAUAGCAAAAGACUCUAUUUAAAUUUAAAUUAUAUUUUAGGAUUAUUGUAAAGAUUAUUAUUUAGAUUUAAUUUCAACUUUUUAUCUUUAUUUAUCUUUUAGAAUUUAAAUAGGAACAAACUAGGUUUUCUAAGUACUAUAAAUAUGGGAUGGAGUCACACAAAUUUCAAUCAACUUUUCUAAAACAGCUCCAUCUACCAAAAAGCUCUAACUUUUGUUCCUUUCAUUUAUAUUAAGUUUAUUUCUUUUUCCCCCAAAAGCAUGAACCACUAAAUUUAUCUAGUCAAAGGUUGUCGAGAUUUCCCAAAAAGGGUUCAUGAGGCUUAGAAUCUGCAUUUAGCCUUCUCAAUGAAUAUUUAUCAUUUCUCCGCACUACGGGACUGACGCUUUCAUCCAUGUCCCUUCAAAAGUUGCAUCUUAUGUAAAGGCGGCCACUUUGUAUGUUUUGGGAAGGUUGCACAGUCAGUUUGUUAGCUUAUUGUGUCAGUGGUUGUUGAGCUUAAGAGAGAAAAUGGCGUGGCAUUCGCCAUCGAGAAGUGAUGAUCUAGUGUAAGACGGUCCCACAAAAGUGAUGGUUGGCUAGAGUCUUGUUCCUCUAUAUCAUAAGUCUAAAAUCUAAGUGGAUAUGGAGGUCGUAAGUGUCCUUUUCCACUAUAACUGGCUUAUUCUGUUAUGAGAAAGGUCAUCUAAAAGUCUAGGAUUGAACCUACAGAGGAUCGAGAUAACCGAAGGCUGAAAUCUCUCCAUCAAAGACUCUAUUUUUACAAUUUUAAUUUCAAUUUGCACAAUCUCAAUUCAUCCAAACUUUUAAUUCUGUUUUUUCAUUUUUUUUAGGUUCACCAUUUUUCUUGGGCACAACUCUGCCCGGGAUCUCAAGGAACAGGAAUUUGUGUAAAUCUAGUCCCUGAGGAUUUGACCCUACAUCCCUUAUACUAUUCGUUUUGUUAUUUUAUAGGGAUAAGAAAUUUUUUGUGCUUUCAUCGACACAUCAAAUUUUGGCGUCGUUGCUGGGGACUGGUACCGUACUAAUCUUGUUUCUUUUGUUUCUUAUAACUAGACCUACUUCAGGUAUUCUUGUGUUUGGUUCAGAAAUACAGAAGACUGCGGGAGCCAAUCGCAAGGAAACGAAGUUACAGAAAAAGUAGUCAAGGGUUGUAGGGACUGAAAGUAAUCCACCGACGAAAAUAAAAAUAGACGACGAGAUUGAGUCUAAGGUUAACGAAAACCCUACUUAAACACUAGAAAACGAAAGAAUCGGAGUCGAUCCAACAGAAGAAGUGCUUAAUGUUAGGGUUAAUGAGAACCCAAAUCUAACACAUCAACCAAUGGCUCAAACAAUCCAGCAAACGGCUGAAACUCAUGCAGAACAAAAACCAUUAUGCAUUGCGUAUCCUACUAUGGAUACUGAUUUUGAAUUGAAGUCAGGAUUAAUCCAGUUACUGCCAACUUUUCGUGGGUUGCAAAACGAAAAUCCCCACAAACAUCUGAAAAAGUUUCUUAUGGUUUGUCUUAGCAUGAAACCUCAGGGUGUAACUGAGGAUCAAAUCAAAUUGCAUGUAACACCCCCUUACCUGAGACCGUUUUUGGAGUCGAGCACGAGGCGUUAUCUGACUUAACUUACUAGUUCGGAACACAAAAAUUUGCUUUUAAAAUUAAUUUCACUAUUCCCAACAAAAUUUUCCACCUGCGCAAUUGUUACUAAUUUAAUUAUAACUCGAGUUAAAAAACUAAAAAUUUAUAUUCAUAAAUUUUUUAUGAAACUAGACUUAUAUACCUUCUUACCAUAAAAUUUCUAGAAUUUUUGGCUUAGCCAAUUAGUACAUUUUAUUCGUUAAAUUCUUCCCUGUUUCACAGCUUGACAGUUCUGACCUCUUGUCGCUAAAAAUCAAUUAUCUCAUUGUACAAAAUUAAUAUAAUGUUAUAAUUUGAUUAUUUUGAAAAUAUACUCACUAAGGAAUCUAGACAUAUAAAUUAUGUCCCAUAAUUAUUUAUGUACAAUUUUUAAUGAAUUUCUAAAGUCAGAACAGAAGACUUCAAAAACCAUUCUGCCCCUGUCUCACUAAAAUUCAAAUAUCUCAAAAUAUAAAAUUCCUUUUCCUACACCGUUUCUUUCAUGUAAAAAUAUACUUGAUAAGAUUUAAUUCUAUAUAUAAUUCACUCUCUAAUUCCAUUUCUACUAUUUUUGGUGAUUUUUUAACAUCACGUCACUGCUGCUGUCCAAAAACUGCUUCUUUGUAUUAGCUACCAUUUAAACAUAUAUAACACCAAAACAUGUUCUUUACUAACCAUUUCAAUAGCUAAUCUUUAGCCAUAUCAUAUGAACAUACUCAAAAUGAAUAAGUCUCUAUACAUGCCAUAGCUUCAAAUGUUUUGAAAUCACAUAAUACCAAGAUGUCUGUUGAUAGUGUGAUACGAAGCUCCGACGAUCCCCAAUUCGAGUAAGCUCAAAACACUAUAAAACAAAGGAAAUGAAGAAAGGAGUAAGCUACUAAUAGCUUAGUAAGUUACAUGUAAACAAUAAGCACUCAUUUAAUAAUUAACAUUUUUUAACAUAUAACUAAUCAAUACAUUUCUUAGCAAUUUCAAUCACUUAUAUAUGCACAAUCUUACCAAAUUCACUUGCAUAUACAUUUACACACUUAACCUUUAUCACAUAUGCUCAUUCUUUCAAAUGUACCUGCAUACACACCUCAUUCAUAUUCACUUUAACUCAUUAUUAAUCUCGUUGAACACUCGGAAUAUACACAGAUACAUAGAGAGUUAGCACAUAAGUGCCACACUGAUAUGUAGCCGAAGCUAUCACUGAAAUGUAGCCGAAGCUACCACUGAUCAAUAAUACUGGAAAUGUCCACGGGCCUGCUCAUACAAGCUGUCAGGUACCUGCAACACAUGCUAGAUCACCCAGCACCCGGGACUCACUGUAACACUGGUCUCUAGUGACAUGUCACUUGUAUCCACUUCUAUUCCUAAGUUCAACCGGGAAUUUACACUUAACACUUUAUUUUAAACACUUUAUCACUUGAAUAAUUCAUGAACAAUUUUCCUUCCACAUUAAAUAUUAAUUCACAUAUCAAAUAUAAUUCACAAUUUAUAAAAAUAUAUUGCUAUUAUUUACACGUAACUUACCUCGGAUGCAAAACGACUAUUUUCGUAAAUUAGUCGAAAACCUUCUCUUUUCCCCGAUCACUUUCACUAUUCCUUUUUCUUGAUCUAUAUUAACACAAUUUAAUAUAUUUUAUCAACAUUCCAUUCAAAUACAAUUCAUACACAAUAUUUUGGCAAACUUAUAUUUUUUCCCAUAACUUUUCAAAAUUACACUUUUGCCCUAAAGCUCGUAAAAAUAAAAUUCACUAAAUUUCUUAAAUUUUAAACCUCACUAAAUCAUAUUUCAUGCUCAUAACAGCCCUCAAUUUCACAAAAUCACAACUUUAUGCACACUUUACUAUCUUUCACAAUUUAGUCCUUUUUCAAUAUUUUUAUCGAAAUUCAUCUAGUAAAACUUGUAAUUAGCACUUCAAUCAUUCAUUAUCUAUCAUAACUCAUCAAAUUACAACUAUAUCAUAAAUGGGUAAAUUUUUUAAACUUUAAUUUCAUUUAAAAUAAAUGGUAGAAACAUGAAAUUCAAGCUUCAAUAAGCAUAAAAAUACGAAAAUAAUUAAAAACGGGGCAAGAAAUCACUUACAAUUGAGCUUAGAAAAAUCAAGAACCCUAGGUAUGAUGACAUGGAAUUUUUGGCAGCAAGGGUCUAAUUCGAAGAAGAUGAACACUUGUUUUCAUCUUAUUUUGUCUUUUAUUCAAUUUUGACAAAAAAGCCCUUGACCCACUUACUUAGAUAUUUUUCUAGAAUUACCCUUAUGUGUCCAUAACACUAAUUUAUGGUCUACUUGCCACAUAAACACUUCCAAUUUCUUGUAAUAAUUCAAUUAAGUCCUUUAAUCACUAAUUAGACACACUUUGCAUUUUUCUCAAUUUAGUCCUAAAAAUUCAAUUAGGCACUAAAUCAUUAAAAUUUCCUAUCCAUAUUUUCACACAAUAUUUCAAUCAAUCGGUAAUUAAUAAAAAUUUAUAAAAUUAAACUAUUUCACUUUGAAUUUGUGGUUACGAAACCACUAUUCUGAUUAGGCCCUAUUUCGGGCUAUCACAUUGCCUACUAGGUUAACACGUUCCAUAAGGGGCAAGCUUAGAAGGAAGCUCAAUAUUACAUUUGGGAUGAACCGUACUUGUGGAAACACUAUUCAAACUAGAUAAUAAGACAAUGUGUUCCAGAAACCGAGGUAGCUUCUAUCCUUACUUUUUGUCGCACAAAAGCUUAUAGAGGUCACUUUGGCUCUAAAUGGACUACUCAUAAGGUAUUGGAGUAUGGGCUAUACUGGCCCACAAUUUUUUGAGACGCAUAUAAUUUCUGUAGGUCCUGCGAUAAAUGCCAACAAACAGGUAACAUAAGUAAGUGAAAUCUAAUGCCCCUAUCUCCAAUUCAUGUAUGUGAGAUUUUUGAUGUGCGGGGCAUCGACUUCAUGGGUCCGUUUAUUUCCUCAUUUAGAAAUAUGUAUAUAAUUCUUGUAGUAGACUAUGUUUCUAAGUGGAUAAAAGCAAAUCCUACUCGCAAUGACAAUGCUAAAACUGUCGUAAAGUUUCUAAAAAGAACUAUUUUUUCUAAGUUUGGCACACCUUGAGCCUUGAUCAGUGAUCGUGGAACCCAUUUUUGCAAUAAAGUCAUGGUGGCACUUAUGAAAAAAUAUUGUGUUCACCACUAUAUAGCUAUAGUAAACAAACGGCUAAGCGAAAGUCUCGAACAGAGAAAUCAAGACCAUUUUAAAGAAAACAGUUUGGCCUAUCGAACGACGUAUAAGAGACCAAUUGGCAUGACCCCAUAUCAGCUUGUUUUUGGCAAGGCUUGUCAUCUUCCGGUAGAAUUAGAACAUAAGGCUUACUGGCUUGUACGACAACGUAACAUAGAGUUAGAACCCGCGAUGAGGGCAAGAAAAUUAGACAUCCAAUAAUUAGAGGAAAUUCGUAAUGAUGCCUAUGAUAAUGCUCGUAUUAUAGGGACAAAACAAAAUUGUUCCAUGACAAGAAAAUAUCUCGGAAGCAUUUUUUGAUAGGACAAAAAGUGUUACUUUUACAACUCUGUGUUAAAAUUGUUCCCAGGUAAGCUUCGGUCUCAAUGGCAAGGACCUUUAUUGUAACCGAAUUAUUCACACGUGGUGUAGUUGAAAUAAAGAGUGAAGAGUCAGGAAAACGAUUCACAGUCAAUGGCCAACAGUUGAAACCAUUUUACGAGAAUUUUCAAGCCCACACAGUUGGAAAAAUUUAGCUAGAACCUCUAUAGUACCAUUUGGGGCGUCAAGCUAACGACAUAAAACAAGCACUUAAUGGAAGGCAACCCAAUUUUUAUUUUUAUUAUAUUAUAUUAUUAUAUUAUUAUAUUAUUAUUUAUCACUUUAAUUUGUUUGGAUAAUAAUAAAUUUCUCUUCUUCUAUCUAGGUAAACCGGCGAGAAAAAAACUCAGGAAUUGACAUGUUUUCACAAACAUCUCUUAUUUUACCCUAAUCCAAGUAGGUAUAGAGCAUCCUUACUUCAUACUUACCCAAAACCUGCAUCCAAGCACCCUUCCUUCUACAGCUUCAAACCCUAUACUUUUCUCUAUUUUUACCCAAAAAAAUAACAGCCACCGUUAACCUUCUCCCUCAUCCCACCACCGAUUUUUCCCACCACUAUGGUUAGGACUAGAGGCCGUGCCAUCGUCGAACCCUCCUUCGCUGUAAACAGCCACCAGCGCCAAUUUUUGGUACCCCAACACGUCAACUUAAACAACGUCGCACCAUUCCCCUCUCCCCUUCCUCCACCGUCGCCCCC
Molecule: long non-coding RNA, 39293 nt
Filed under: Gossypium barbadense (sea-island cotton)
Lineage: Eukaryota; Viridiplantae; Streptophyta; Magnoliopsida; Malvales; Malvaceae
Description: long non-coding RNA (GBAR_LNC020407)
Source: RNAcentral